This 484-nucleotide ribosomal RNA is filed under the name uncultured bacterium. RNAcentral's name for it is "partial 16S ribosomal RNA". It matches the Rfam family "Bacterial small subunit ribosomal RNA", at positions 28 to 523 of the family's 1533-position model. The record is from RNAcentral.
GAUGAACGCUGGCGGCGUGCUUAACACAUGCAAGUCGAACGGAUUUAUGAUGAAACCUAGUAAUUCAUAAGUUAGUGGCGGACGGGUGAGUAACGCGUGGAUAACCUGCCUUAUACCGGGGGAUAACACUUAGAAAUAGGUGCUAAUACCGCAUAAGCGCACAGAGCCGCAUGGCUUGGUGUGAAAAACUCCGGUGGUAUAAGAUGGAUCCGCGUCUGAUUAGCUAGUUGGUGAGGUAAGGGCUCACCAAGGCGACGAUCAGUAGCCGGCCUGAGAGGGUGAACGGCCACAUUGGGACUGAGACACGGCCCAGACUCCUACGGGAGGCAGCAGUGGGGAAUAUUGCACAAUGGGCGAAAGCCUGAUGCAGCGACGCCGCGUGAGUGAAGAAGUAUUUCGGUAUGUAAAGCUCUAUCAGCAAGGAAGAAAAUGACGGUACUUGACUAAGAAGCCCCGGCUAACUACGUGCCAGCAGCCGCCGUAA